UGUUCAACGGCCGCGGUAUCCUAACCGUGCGAAGGUAGCGUAAUCACUUGUUCUUUAAAUGGGGACUAGUAUGAAUGGCAUCACGAGGGUCAAACUGUCUCCUUUUUCUAAUCAGUGAAACUAAUCUCCCCGUGAAGAAGCGGGGAUUAGCUUAUAAGACGAGAAGACCCUAUGGAGCUUAAAACAAAUUUACACUUGCUUUUAUACAUUCACCUUCCUGAACAUUCACAUAAAAUUUAGCACAACUGAUAAUUAGUUUUCGAUUGGGGUGAUCAUGGAGAAAAAAAUAACCUCCACAACGAUAAGGGAACCCCCUGAGCCAAAAGCCACAACUUUAAGCACUAAAAAAUUAACGCACCUUGACCCAAUUUACUUGAUCAACGAACC
RNAcentral lists this ribosomal RNA (387 nucleotides) under Boana sp. e AF-2020. RNAcentral's name for it is "partial large subunit ribosomal RNA". It matches the Rfam family "Bacterial large subunit ribosomal RNA", at positions 1921 to 2458 of the family's 2925-position model. The record is from RNAcentral. Lineage: Eukaryota; Metazoa; Chordata; Amphibia; Anura; Hylidae.